AGUGAACGCUGGCGGUAGGCCUAACACAUGCAAGUCGAACGGCAGCACAGUAAGAGCUUGCUCUUACGGGUGGCGAGUGGCGGACGGGUGAGGAAUACAUCGGAAUCUACUUUUUCGUGGGGGAUAACGUAGGGAAACUUACGCUAAUACCGCAUACGACCUACGGGUGAAAGCAGGGGAUCUUCGGACCUUGCGCGAUUGAAUGAGCCGAUGUCGGAUUAGCUAGUUGGCGGGGUAAAGGCCCACCAAGGCGACGAUCCGUAGCUGGUCUGAGAGGAUGAUCAGCCACACUGGAACUGAGACACGGUCCAGACUCCUACGGGAGGCAGCAAUGGGGAAUAUUGGACAAUGGGCGCAAGCCUGAUCCAGCCAUACCGCGUGAGUGAAGAAGGCCUUCGGGUUGUAAAGCCCUUUUGUUGGGAAAGAAAAGCAGCAGGUUAAUACCCCGCUGUUCUGACGGUACCCAAAGAAUAAGCACCGGCUAACUUCGUG
Molecule: ribosomal RNA, 492 nt
Filed under: uncultured bacterium
Lineage: Bacteria
Description: partial 16S ribosomal RNA
Rfam family: Bacterial small subunit ribosomal RNA
Source: RNAcentral